RNAcentral lists this ribosomal RNA (1372 nucleotides) under uncultured bacterium. Its description in RNAcentral is "bacterial SSU rRNA". It matches the Rfam family "Bacterial small subunit ribosomal RNA", at positions 28 to 1381 of the family's 1533-position model. The record is from RNAcentral.
GAUGAACGCUGGCGGCGUGCCUAAUACAUGCAAGUCGAGCGAACGGACGAGAAGCUUGCUUCUCUGAUGUUAGCGGCGGACGGGUGAGUAACACGUGGAUAACCUACCUAUAAGACUGGGAUAACUUCGGGAAACCGGAGCUAAUACCGGAUAAUAUUUUGAACCGCAUGGUUCAAAAGUGAAAGACGGUCUUGCUGUCACUUAUAGAUGGAUCCGCGCUGCAUUAGCUAGUUGGUAAGGUAACGGCUUACCAAGGCAACGAUGCAUAGCCGACCUGAGAGGGUGAUCGGCCACACUGGAACUGAGACACGGUCCAGACUCCUACGGGAGGCAGCAGUAGGGAAUCUUCCGCAAUGGGCGAAAGCCUGGCGGAGCAACGCCGCGUGAGUGAUGAAGGUCUUCGGAUCGUAAAACUCUGUUAUUAGGGAAGAACAUAUGUGUAAGUAACUGUGCACAUCUUGACGGUACCUAAUCAGAAAGCCACGGCUAACUACGUGCCAGCAGCCGCGGUAAUACGUAGGUGGCAAGCGUUAUCCGGAAUUAUUGGGCGUAAAGCGCGCGUAGGCGGUUUUUUAAGUCUGAUGUGAAAGCCCACGGCUCAACCGUGGAGGGUCAUUGGAAACUGGAAAACUUGAGUGCAGAAGAGGAAAGUGGAAUUCCAUGUGUAGCGGUGAAAUGCGCAGAGAUAUGGAGGAACACCAGUGGCGAAGGCGACUUUCUGGUCUGUAACUGACGCUGAUGUGCGAAAGCGUGGGGAUCAAACAGGAUUAGAUACCCUGGUAGUCCACGCCGUAAACGAUGAGUGCUAAGUGUUAGGGGGUUUCCGCCCCUUAGUGCUGCAGCUAACGCAUUAAGCACUCCGCCUGGGGAGUACGACCGCAAGGUUGAAACUCAAAGGAAUUGACGGGGACCCGCACAAGCGGUGGAGCAUGUGGUUUAAUUCGAAGCAACGCGAAGAACCUUACCAAAUCUUGACAUCCUUUGACAACUCUAGAGAUAGCGCCUUCCCCUUCGGGGGACAAAGUGACAGGUGGUGCAUGGUUGUCGUCAGCUCGUGUCGUGAGAUGUUGGGUUAAGUCCCGCAACGAGCGCAACCCUUAAGCUUAGUUGCCAUCAUUAAGUUGGGCACUCUAAGUUGACUGCCGGUGACAAACCGGAGGAAGGUGGGGAUGACGUCAAAUCAUCAUGCCCCUUAUGAUUUGGGCUACACACGUGCUACAAUGGACAAUACAAAGGGCAGCGAAACCGCGAGGUCAAGCAAAUCCCAUAAAGUUGUUCUCAGUUCGGAUUGUAGUCUGCAACUCGACUACAUGAAGCUGGAAUCGCUAGUAAUCGUAGAUCAGCAUGCUACGGUGAAUACGUUCCCGGGUCU